RNAcentral lists this unclassified non-coding RNA (273 nucleotides) under plant metagenome. RNAcentral's name for it is "partial contains small subunit ribosomal RNA and internal transcribed spacer 1". The stretch from base 1 to 46 matches the Rfam family "Eukaryotic small subunit ribosomal RNA", at positions 1786 to 1831 of the family's 1831-position model. The record is from RNAcentral.
AAGUCGUAACAAGGUUUCCGUAGGUGAACCUGCGGAAGGAUCAUUAUUGAAUGUUGCUUGAUGGGUUGUAGCUGGCCCUUCGGGGCAUGUGCACGCCUGUCUUGACUACUAUUCAUCCACCUGUGCACACUUUGUAGUCUUUCGGGUCUGGGAAGCGGCUGACAUUGUCAGUCGUGCUGAACCUCCCUCGGGGACUAUGUCUUUAUUCAUACACCAUGUAGUAUGUUGCAGAAUGUAAUCAAUGGGCCUUUGUGCCUAUAAAACCUUAUACAA